UACGUAGGGCGCAAGCGUUGUCCGGAAUUAUUGGGCGUAAAGAGCGUGUAGGCGGCCAGGCAGGUCCGUUGUGAAAACUCGAGGCUCAACCUCGAGACGUCGAUGGAAACCGUCUGGCUAGAGUCCGGAAGAGGAGAGUGGAAUUCCUGGUGUAGCGGUGAAAUGCGCAGAUAUCGGGAGGAACACCGGUGGCGAAGGCGGUUCUCUGGGCCUUACCUGACGCUGAGGAGCGAAAGCGUGGGGAGCGAACAGG
RNAcentral lists this ribosomal RNA (253 nucleotides) under uncultured bacterium. RNAcentral's name for it is "partial 16S ribosomal RNA". It matches the Rfam family "Bacterial small subunit ribosomal RNA", at positions 524 to 776 of the family's 1533-position model. The record is from RNAcentral.